ACUCCUACGGGAGGCAGCAGUGGGGAAUAUUGCACAAUGGGCGCAAGCCUGAUGCAGCCAUGCCGCGUGUGUGAAGAAGGCCUUCGGGUUGUAAAGCACUUUCAGCAGUGAGGAAGGCGGAGUCGUUAAUAGCGGCCUCGUUUGUACGUUAGCUGCAGAAGAAGCACCGGCUAACUCCGUGCCAGCAGCCGCGGUAAUACGGAGGGUGCGAGCGUUAAUCGGAAUUACGUGGCGUAAAGCGCAUGCAGGUGGUUUGUUAAGUCAGAUGUGAAAGCCCGGGGCUCAACCUCGGAAUAGCAUUUGAAACUGGCAGACUAGAGUACUGUAGAGGGGGUAGAAUUUCAGGUGUAG
This 351-nucleotide ribosomal RNA is filed under the name uncultured bacterium. RNAcentral's name for it is "bacterial SSU rRNA". It matches the Rfam family "Bacterial small subunit ribosomal RNA", at positions 335 to 678 of the family's 1533-position model. The record is from RNAcentral.